RNAcentral lists this ribosomal RNA (818 nucleotides) under uncultured archaeon. RNAcentral's name for it is "bacterial SSU rRNA". It matches the Rfam family "Archaeal small subunit ribosomal RNA", at positions 536 to 1353 of the family's 1478-position model. The record is from RNAcentral.
AGUUUUCGGUUAAAUCUAUACGCUCAACGUACAGGCUGCCGGGAAUACUGUAGAGCUAGGGAGUGGGAGAGGUAGACGGUACUCGGGAGGAAGGGGUAAAAUCCUUUGAUCUCUCGAUGACCACCUGUGGCGAAGGCGGUCUACCAGAACACGUCCGACGGUGAGGGAUGAAAGCUGGGGGAGCAAACCGGAUUAGAUACCCGGGUAGUCCCAGCCGUAAACUAUGCAAACUCAGUGAUGCAUUGGCUUGUGGCCAAUGCAGUGUUGCAGGGAAGCCGUUAAGUUUGCCGCCUGGGAAGUACGUACGCAAGUAUGAAACUUAAAGGAAUUGGCGGGGGAGCACCACAAGGGGUGAAGCCUGCGGUUCAAUUGGAGUCAACGCCAGAAAUCUUACCCGGAGAGACAGCAGAAUGAAGGUCAAGCUGAAGACUUUACCAGACAAGCUGAGAGGUGGUGCAUGGCCGUCGCCAGCUCGUGCCGUGAGAUGUCCUGUUAAGUCAGGUAACGAGCGAGAUCCCUGCCUCUAGUUGCCACCAUUACUCUCAGGAGUAGUGGGGCGAAUUAGCGGGACCGCCGCAGUUAAUGCGGAGGAAGGAAGGGGCCACGGCAGGUCAGUAUGCCCCGAAACUCUGGGGCCACACGCGGGCUGCAAUGGUAAUGACAAUGGGUUCCGAAUCCGAAAGGAGGAGGUAAUCCCCAAACAUUACCACAGUUAUGACUGAGGGCUGCAACUCGCCCUCACGAAUAUGGAAUCCCUAGUAACUGCGUGUCAUUAUCGCGCGGUGAAUACGUCCCUGCUCCUUGCACACACCGCCCGU